RNAcentral lists this ribosomal RNA (324 nucleotides) under uncultured eukaryote. RNAcentral describes it as "partial 18S ribosomal RNA". It matches the Rfam family "Eukaryotic small subunit ribosomal RNA", at positions 1470 to 1796 of the family's 1831-position model. The record is from RNAcentral.
CCCUUAGAUGCUCUGGGCCGCACGCGCGCUACACUGGUCGAUGCAACGAGUUUCUUUCCUUGGCCGACAGGCCUGGGCAAUCUUUGAACAUCGAUCGUGAUCGGGAUAGAUUCUUGUAAUUUUUGAUCUUAAACGAGGAAUUCCUAGUAAACGCAAGUCAUCAGCUUGCAUUGAUUACGUCCCUGCCCUUUGUACACACCGCCCGUCGCACCUACCGAUUGAAUGGUUCGGUGAAAUCUCCGGACUGGCGUGAGUCGGAGCAAUCUGACAAACGCCGGAAAGUUGAUUAAACCUUACCAUUUAGAGGAAGGUGAAGUCGUAACA